UCCGGUUUGUCACCGGCAGUCUCAUUAGAGUGCCCAACUGAAUGUAGCAACUAAUGACAAGGGUUGCGCUCGUUGCGGGACUUAACCCAACAUCUCACGACACGAGCUGACGACAGCCAUGCACCACCUGUGCAGGGCCCCGAAGGACACCGAUGUUUCCACCGGCUUUCCCGUGCAUGUCAAGCCCAGGUAAGGUUCUUCGCGUCGCGUCGAAUUAAACCACAUGCUCCGCUGCUUGUGCGGGUCCCCGUCAAUUCCUUUGAGUUUUAGCCUUGCGGCCGUACUCCCCAGGCGGGGUGCUUAAUGCGUUAGCUGCGGCACGGACGGAGUCGACACCGCCCACACCUAGCACCCAUCGUUUACGGCGUGGACUAC
Molecule: unclassified non-coding RNA, 375 nt
Filed under: uncultured Gaiellales bacterium
Lineage: Bacteria; Bacillati; Actinomycetota; Thermoleophilia; Gaiellales
Description: contains 16S-23S intergenic spacer region
Source: RNAcentral